GACGAACGCUGGCGGCGUGCUUAACACAUGCAAGUCGAACGGAAAGGCCCUGCUUUUGUGGGGUGCUCGAGUGGCGAACGGGUGAGUAACACGUGAGUAACCUGCCCUUGACUUUGGGAUAACUUCAGGAAACUGGGGCUAAUACCGGAUAGGAGCUCCUGCUGCAUGGUGGGGGUUGGAAAGUUUCGGCGGUUGGGGAUGGACUCGCGGCUUAUCAGCUUGUUGGUGGGGUAGUGGCUUACCAAGGCUUUGACGGGUAGCCGGCCUGAGAGGGUGACCGGCCACAUUGGGACUGAGAUACGGCCCAGACUCCUACGGGAGGCAGCAGUGGGGAAUAUUGCACAAUGGGGGGAAGCCAGAUGCAGCAACGCCGCGUGCGGGAUGACGGCCUUCGGGUUGUAAACCGCUUUCGCCUGUGACGAAGCGUGAGUGACGGUAAUGGGUAAAGAAGCACCGGCUAACUACGUG
This 468-nucleotide ribosomal RNA is filed under the name uncultured bacterium. RNAcentral's name for it is "partial 16S ribosomal RNA". It matches the Rfam family "Bacterial small subunit ribosomal RNA", at positions 28 to 507 of the family's 1533-position model. The record is from RNAcentral.